This 143-nucleotide transfer RNA is filed under the name Erinaceus europaeus (western European hedgehog). It matches the Rfam family "tRNA". Rfam says of the family: Transfer RNA (tRNA) molecules are approximately 80 nucleotides in length. Their secondary structure includes four short double-helical elements and three loops (D, anti-codon, and T loops). Further hydrogen bonds mediate the characteristic L-shaped molecular structure. tRNAs have two regions of fundamental functional importance: the anti-codon, which is responsible for specific mRNA codon recognition, and the 3' end, to which the tRNAs corresponding amino acid is attached (by aminoacyl-tRNA synthetases). tRNAs cope with the degeneracy of the genetic code in two manners: having more than one tRNA (with a specific anti-codon) for a particular amino acid; and 'wobble' base-pairing, i.e. permitting non-standard base-pairing at the 3rd anti-codon position. The record is from Rfam by way of RNAcentral. Lineage: Eukaryota; Metazoa; Chordata; Mammalia; Eulipotyphla; Erinaceidae.
GGGGGUAUAGUUCAGUGGUAGAGCAUUUGACUGCAGAGGUGGGAAUGAGAUGAAAGAGAAAACAGUGGGGCCAGGUGGUGACCUGGUUGAGCACACAUAUUACCAUGAUCAAGAAAGGACCAGGGUUCAAGCCCCUGCUCCCA